UACGUAGGGGGCGAGCGUUGUCCGGAGUUACUGGGCGUAAAGCGCACGCAGGCGGUCUGCUAAGUUUGGAGUGACAGUUGGUGGCUCAACCACCAAAGUGCUUUGAAAACUGGCCGACUUGAGGGCUUCAGAGGGGCACGGAAUUCCGGGUGGAGUGGUGAAAUGCGUAGAGAUCCGGAGGAACACCGAAGGCGAAGGCAGUGUCCUGGGGAGUACCUGACGCUCAGGUGCGAAAGCGUGGGGAGCGAACAGG
This 253-nucleotide ribosomal RNA is filed under the name uncultured bacterium. RNAcentral describes it as "partial 16S ribosomal RNA". It matches the Rfam family "Bacterial small subunit ribosomal RNA", at positions 524 to 776 of the family's 1533-position model. The record is from RNAcentral.